Molecule: ribosomal RNA, 135 nt
Filed under: uncultured bacterium
Lineage: Bacteria
Description: partial 16S ribosomal RNA
Rfam family: Bacterial small subunit ribosomal RNA
Source: RNAcentral
UGGGGAUAUUGCACAAUGGGGGGAACCCUGAUGCAGCGACGCCGCGUGGGUGAAGAAGCGCCUCGGCGCGUAAAGCCCUGUCAGCAGGGAAGAAAUGACGGUACCUGAAGAAGAAGCCCCGGCUAACUACGUGCC